UACAUGCCAGGUACUACAUGAGUGUGUU
This 28-nucleotide non-coding RNA is filed under the name Homo sapiens (human). The record is from RNAcentral. Lineage: Eukaryota; Metazoa; Chordata; Mammalia; Primates; Hominidae.